UCACAUGCUUGGACUCGAUAG
Non-coding RNA from Caenorhabditis elegans, 21 nucleotides. Lineage: Eukaryota; Metazoa; Nematoda; Chromadorea; Rhabditida; Rhabditidae. The record is from Ensembl.